Molecule: non-coding RNA, 294 nt
Organism: Erinaceus europaeus (western European hedgehog)
Lineage: Eukaryota; Metazoa; Chordata; Mammalia; Eulipotyphla; Erinaceidae
Source: Rfam
GGAUGUGAGGGUGAUCUGGCUGUGACAUCUACCACCCUACUGAUCACCAGGGUUGAUUGGGCUCAUCUGGCUGGCUCGGCAGGUGUCCCCUUCGUCCCUCCAUGUGCGUCCCUCCCGAAGCUGCACGCUCGGUCAAAGAGGAUGGCCUUCCCCCAUACGGACCGGUCUUUGGUUGAGGCUAUACAGGUAGCUGCACUUUCCUGCUAGAACCUCCAAACAAGCUCUCAAGGUCCAAUAGUGUCACAAAGUCCCCUUUUCUCCACAUCUAUGCCAACGAUGGCCAUUUGUUGAUGU